CGAAAACGGUUCUGAGCGGAGCGUUAUUAUACAGUCGUGUUUUAUCGUUUGUCGCCAUAGUGGUCCGGUAAUCGAUGAAAACUGUACAUGUGUACGUAAAAUUGCCAGUUUUUCCCUUUCGUUAAGAAAAACAACGAGGAAACGCGAAAAACGUACCGAUUAUAGAUCGAAAAUUAUGCGAGAAAGUUCCAAUAAAGUUUUCAAUGGGGGCGCGAUCUCCGGUAGAAAAGUUGUUCA
Molecule: non-coding RNA, 237 nt
Organism: Cinara cedri
Lineage: Eukaryota; Metazoa; Arthropoda; Insecta; Hemiptera; Aphididae
Source: the annotation of a GenBank genome assembly